RNAcentral lists this small RNA (465 nucleotides) under Pan troglodytes (chimpanzee). Its description in RNAcentral is "sense intronic". The record is from RNAcentral. Lineage: Eukaryota; Metazoa; Chordata; Mammalia; Primates; Hominidae.
GUUUUCUGUGUGAUCUUAGGUGAGUUUCUUCCCCACUGUAGUCCUAUUUCUUCAUCUCUGUAGACUCUUAUUUCACUCAGUCCCUCCUGCUGUGUUGGGUCCCCUGAUCUCAGAGGGAAACACUCAGUGCUUUGUGGUGUAGGUAUUUAGCAAUUAGCUCUUCAGGGGGACAAAAAAAGCCCUGUUGUGUAGUUUUGCCAAUUUCCGUAGUGUAAAUACUCCCACCAUGGCUGAUUUCAAGCUCCUUAUGUGAUAUCACUGUAGGCUGGAGUGUAGUGGUGUGAUCUCAGCUCACUACCACCCCCUCCUCCCGGGUUCAAGCAAUUCUUCUGCCACAGCCUCCUGAGUAGCUGGGAUUACAGGCACACACCACCAUGCCCGGCUAAUUUUUGUAUUUUUAGUAGAGACAGGGUUUCACCAUUUUGGCCAGGCUGGUCUCGAACUCCUGACCUUGUGAUUCGCCCG